RNAcentral lists this transfer RNA (70 nucleotides) under Marmota monax (woodchuck). RNAcentral describes it as "tRNA.Met". The record is from RNAcentral. Lineage: Eukaryota; Metazoa; Chordata; Mammalia; Rodentia; Sciuridae.
GUUGGGAAUAUAGCUCAGUUGGUAAAGUGUUUGCCUCAUAUGCAGGCCCUGGGUUCAAUCCCCAGCAACA